Molecule: small RNA, 75 nt
Filed under: Xanthomonas campestris
Lineage: Bacteria; Pseudomonadati; Pseudomonadota; Gammaproteobacteria; Lysobacterales; Lysobacteraceae
Description: sRNA sX9
Rfam family: Xanthomonas sRNA sX9
Source: RNAcentral
AUGUACCCCUAUACACGCCGAUUCCUCCGCGCCUUCCGCACCCACCUGAGGACUGCGCGCUACGUUUUGUUGGCC